This 497-nucleotide ribosomal RNA is filed under the name uncultured bacterium. Its description in RNAcentral is "partial 16S ribosomal RNA". It matches the Rfam family "Bacterial small subunit ribosomal RNA", at positions 28 to 507 of the family's 1533-position model. The record is from RNAcentral.
GAUGAACGCUGGCGGCGUGCCUAAUACAUGCAAGUCGAGCGAACAGACGAGGAGCUUGCUCCUCUGACGUUAGCGGCGGACGGGUGAGUAACACGUGGAUAACCUACCUAUAAGACUGGGAUAACUUCGGGAAACCGGAGCUAAUACCGGAUAAUAUAUUGAACCGCAUGGUUCAAUAGUGAAAGACGGUUUUGCUGUCACUUAUAGAUGGAUCCGCGCCGCAUUAGCUAGUUGGUAAGGUAACGGCUUACCAAGGCGACGAUGCGUAGCCGACCUGAGAGGGUGAUCGACCACACUGGAACUGAGACACGGUCCAGACUCCUACGGGAGACAGCAGUAGGGAAUCUUCCGCAAUGGGCGAAAGCCUGACGGAGCAACGCCGCGUGAGUGAUGAAGGUCUUCGGAUCGUAAAACUCUGUUAUUAGGGAAGAACAAAUGUGUAAGUAACUAUGCACGUCUUGACGGUACCUAAUCAGAAAGCCACGGCUAACUACGUG